AUCCACCGAUCUGCUAAUCUGGCCGUCGUCGUACCUAUCUGGUCCAAGCUGAACCAUUUCCUCUUCCAGGCUCAAACCCUCGUUCCCGAUCUGUACCUUCCAGAGGAAGAGGAAGAGGAAGAGGAAGGAAUAGGCGGACGAGAUGUCGCCGGCUGAAGAAGCGCAGCAGGAGGCCGCCGUCUUCGAGGACGACGACGAGGACUACUCCGAUAUGAGCGACGACAGCGAAGACGACGACGACAAUCAGGCGGCGCUGCCUCCUCCAACGCAGCUGCAGCCAGAACUGGCUUCGCCAGCCUGUGCAGAUCUGAACGCUUCGGCCUCCUCGCAGGAUGCCGCAAUCCCUAACCCUAACUCCGUUCACAAACUCAACAGUAUCCAGUCAGAUGCGGUAGUCGAUUAUCCCCAGAACGGCGUGAUCCCUGUCCAAGUCCUUCCUGCCUCUGCUCCUUCUAACGCUUCCUUUUUCACCCCCAUCCAUAUCCCACUCGCCACCGCCUCCGCCUCCGAUGAGCGGAGAUCCCUCGAUGUCGUUGCCUUAGAUGAUUCUCGGCGGCUGUUUCAGAGGCUCUGGACGGAUGAAGAGGCGAUCAAAAUCCUGCAAGGUUUCUUUGAAUUUACCUCGAGGCGCGGCACCACUUUUGCCUACCAUCAGUACGACACCAGCCCCUUCUACGAGGAGAUCAAGAAGCAGCUCCACUUCGACUUCACUAAGAACCAGCUGAUCGAGAAGCUCCGCCGCCUGAAGAAGAAGUAUCGGAACUGUGUCAGCCGGAUGCAGACAGGAGGAAGAAACUUCGCUUUUAGGAGCACACAUGAACGGGCCAUAUAUGACAUCGCUCGCAAGAUAUGGAGCGCAAGCACCAAGAGGAGUCAUGAGAGUGAUGACGAAGAUUUCGACACCACAAACCCUAUCUCCAACGAGAUCAUUACCAUUCCGAUCAACGACGGUUCUAUAAGUUCAGAAAGGAGGAAUUCCAGAUCAAGACGGCGCAUGAAAAAAAGAUUGAUGGAAGAUGCUGCAGCUGGUGUACCUGAUGCUACACCUUUAGCUUCUUCAGCUGGAGGAGUAGCUGUAGGCAAUUCCAACCAAUCCAUGCAUAAACCUUUAGCUUCUGGGAUACCAAACAUCAUCGAGGAGACUGUGAAGAAUUGCCUCUCGCCGCUCUUCAAGGAGCUCAUCAAUUCUGCUAUCAGGGAGCCGUUUGGUCCAGGGCUUGGUAGCGGGACAUCACUGCUGAACUUUCUGCCCCUGAACCUUGAGGGUGGUUCUUUGGCGACCCCAGACAUGCCUGUGAAUGGAAAAUGGAGAGCACAGCAGAUUCUAGAACUGGAGGUUUACCUGAAGCGGUUAGAGCUUGUGAAGGAUCACAUAAAGUUGACAUUGGAGGAGCUCAAGUCUGCAGGAAGCUGAUAUCUGAGUGCCUCAGCGGAAGAAGAAGAAGAAGAAGAAGAAAAUACAACAGGGAGCAAACACAUCAACUGCAGGAGGCAGAUUGGAUUGGAUGGGGUUCUUCGGCCUGGUUCUUGGAUCUCUUCUGGUGGCGCUCAUCCCCAUCCUUUGGAAGGCCCUGCUGCAUCUGAUAUGGAGACCAUACUCGAUCACCAAAUUGUUCAGGGAGCAAGGCGUGUGCGGCCCUGCAUACCAAUUUUGGACAGGAUCGUUGCAGGAGAUCAGGAGGCUGAGGAAGGCCGGAAGCGAAUUGAUAUUGGACAACAACUGCCAUGAUUACACUGUCAGAGUUUUCCCCCACUACCGCAACUGGACUCACCAGUAUGGUACAACAUUUUUGCUGUGGAUUGGAUCAAAUCCAAGGCUUUGCGUUGGGGACAUAGAGAUGGUGAAGCAAGUUUUGUCAAACAAGUUUGGUUUCUACCUCAAAACCGAGGCAUCUGCUGGUGUGUUGGCUCUGGUAGGCAAGGGAUUGGUGCUGGUGGAAGGGGAAGAUUGGGUGCGGCAUCGGAGGAUUUUAAACCCUGCUUUCGCCAUGGACAAACUCAAGCUAUUAACUAAAACAAUGGAUGAAUGUGCCAAAGCAACGAUAGAGGCAUGGCGAGAUGAAUCCAGUCGAGAAGACGAUCAGCAGCAAAUGGAAAUCGAUGUCUCCGUCCAGUUCCAAGAAUUGACAGCGGAUGUGAUCUCUCGGACAGCAUUUGGAAGCAGCUACAAAGAGGGAAAGGAAGUCUUUUUAGCACAGAAAAAGCUCCAAGUCCUCGUUGCAGAAUCAUUUUUCCACUGGAACUUCUAUGGAUCCAAGUAUUUAACUAAACACCAUCUUUUGCAACUGUGUGAUAAUGAAUCGCAAACUUGAUAAUUUCCUUUGCAGAUACUUUCCAACCAAGCAAAAUUUGCAGAUACGGAAGUUAGAAAAAAUCAUUAGAAGCACACUCAUGGGCAUCAUAAAAAAUAGAAUGAGUUCAACGGAGGAUUCUGGUUUCGGAAAUGACUUACUUGGGUUAAUGUUGGAAGCUAGACAGGUGGAAGCCGGCCGGAUGUUGAGUUUGGAUGAGAUCGUCGACGAGUGCAAAACCUUCUUCUUCGCGGGCCAGGAGACCACAUCGUACUUUUUAACUUGGGCGAUGUUCUUGUUGAGCACAAACAAAGAUUGGCAGGAGAAGCUCAGGGACGAGGUGCUUCAGCACUGCAGGAAGGAGACUCCAAAUGCCGACAUGCUGAGCAGAUUGAAGCCGAUGAACAUGGUUCUCCUGGAAACGUUGCGGCUCUACGGCCCAGUCAUUCUUAUGGGGAGAAAGGCCGAGAGAGCCAUGACUUUGGGGAGCAUAAACAUACCAAAGGACACUUCGUUGAUAAUUCCGAUAGCAUUAAUCCAGAGGAACAAGAAACUCUGGGGAGCCGAUGCCGAUGAGUUUAAUCCGCUCAGGUUCGCUAACGGCAUGUCGCAGGCUGCCACACAUCCCAACGCACUGCUUUCGUUCUCGAUCGGGCCUAGAGCGUGCAUUGGCCAGAACUUUGCGAUGCUGGAAGCGAAGGUGGUGCUUGCGAAGAUCCUGCAGCAGUUUUCAUUUUCUCUGUCACCCAAGUACAAGCACGCUCCCAUGGAUGUGCUAACGCUGCGGCCAAAAUACGGGCUUCCUGUUGUUCUAAGGCCAUUGCACGUCUGAUGAUGUUACUUUAACUUGUGUCGUAGUAGAUUGCAUCGAUAUAGAUGAACAUGGAUGUUUUAUUAGUGUGAAAUUAAAUUAUGUAUAUGAAUUGAAUGAAUGAUCGUGAAUGAACA
Molecule: RNA transcript, 3239 nt
Organism: Zingiber officinale
Lineage: Eukaryota; Viridiplantae; Streptophyta; Magnoliopsida; Zingiberales; Zingiberaceae
Gene name: cytochrome P450 709B2-like
Exons: 5
Source: RefSeq, a predicted model, not a curated record